GAUGGCUCAGUGGUUAAGAGCACUGGCUGCUCUUUCAGAGGUCCUGAGUUCAAUUCUCAGAUAUCA
RNAcentral lists this transfer RNA (66 nucleotides) under Rattus norvegicus (Norway rat). The record is from Rfam by way of RNAcentral. Lineage: Eukaryota; Metazoa; Chordata; Mammalia; Rodentia; Muridae.